AGUGAACGCUGGCGGUAGGCCUAACACAUGCAAGUCGAACGGCAGCACAGUAAGAGCUUGCUCUUACGGGUGGCGAGUGGCGGACGGGUGAGGAAUACAUCGGCAUCUACUUUUUCGUGGGGGAUAACGUAGGGAAACUUACGCUAAUACCGCAUACGACCUACGGGUGAAAGCAGGGGAUCUUCGGACCUUGCGCGAUUGAAUGAGCCGAUGUCGGAUUAGCUAGUUGGCGGGGUAAAGGCCCACCAAGGCGACGAUCCGUAGCUGGUCUGAGAGGAUGAUCGGCCACACUGGAACUGAGACACGGUCCAGACUCCUACGGGAGGCAGCAGUGGGGAAUAUUGGACAAUGGGCGCAAGCCUGAUCCAGCCAUACCGCGUGAGUGAAGAAGGCCUUCGGGUUGUAAAGCCCUUUUGUUGGGAAAGAAAAGCAGCAGGUUAAUCCCCCGCUGUUCUGACGGUACCCAAAGAAUAAGCACCGGCUAACUUCGUG
RNAcentral lists this ribosomal RNA (492 nucleotides) under uncultured bacterium. RNAcentral's name for it is "partial 16S ribosomal RNA". It matches the Rfam family "Bacterial small subunit ribosomal RNA", at positions 29 to 507 of the family's 1533-position model. The record is from RNAcentral.